CUCGUCCCACUUUGAAAAAAACGACCAAAACAUGGAAAAUAUUCAAAUGUUUGUUAAACAUUGGUGCGUUUUUAUAACCAGUGAUAACAGUGUUGUGUUUAUGGUGAGAUAAGGAGCUGAUAAGCGUGACGCAACAUCAAAGAAGCCGCUUUUUCACGCACUGCUUUCACGGAUGACUCACAGUUUUCCUUUGACUGGAGGUCCCCUAAUUUCACCUAUUUUUUGCGCUAAUGACAAGUGCAUUAUAAUAAUAUAAAAACUAUGAAAACAAAUCAACAGAAAUUCGCUAAUAAGUCAACAAAAAAGUUACAACAUCAACAAAUGCCGAUUAAAUACUAGAUAACAAAAUAGGAAUCACAAUUAUUCAGACUAGAAUA
Tribolium castaneum (red flour beetle) is the source of this 377-nucleotide long non-coding RNA. RefSeq lists it as uncharacterized. The transcript has 3 exons. The record is from RefSeq and is a predicted model, not a curated record. Lineage: Eukaryota; Metazoa; Arthropoda; Insecta; Coleoptera; Tenebrionidae.